Molecule: non-coding RNA, 31 nt
Filed under: Rattus norvegicus (Norway rat)
Lineage: Eukaryota; Metazoa; Chordata; Mammalia; Rodentia; Muridae
Source: RNAcentral
UCUCUUCUCGAUUGACCAUUUUGCAGGGAGU